RNAcentral lists this transfer RNA (614 nucleotides) under uncultured Paracoccus sp. Its description in RNAcentral is "partial 16S-23S ribosomal RNA intergenic spacer". The stretch from base 223 to 295 matches the Rfam family "tRNA". Lineage: Bacteria; Pseudomonadati; Pseudomonadota; Alphaproteobacteria; Rhodobacterales; Paracoccaceae. The record is from RNAcentral.
GAGUGACAUGUCACUUUCGUGAAGCUACUUGGCAGAGCAUCAGUCAGAUGCUCAUAUCGCGGUCAGACCGUCCUCAUAUCUCUUCAGAAAUCAGAUGUCACAGGCCCGCCGGUCUGGAAUGGGUCGGUAGCUCAGGUGGUUAGAGCGCACGCCUGAUAAGCGUGAGGUCGGAGGUUCAAGUCCUCCUCGACCCACCAUCACGGGUUUGAGGGUUUGACUUGAGGGGCCUUAGCUCAGUUGGUAGAGCGCCUGCUUUGCAAGCAGGAUGUCAUCGGUUCGAAUCCGAUAGGCUCCACCAUCCUUUACCGACAUGAUCGGAAAGCCUUUGGCUUUCCCGUCCUGUCGGACGCGGUUCCUCGGAACCAUUUAACAUCGUUCAGAGAGAUAAUCAGCGUUAUUGGCCGUGCCCGAGUGGGGGUGCGGUGGUCGCAAGACCAACAAUGACGUUGUCCAAGUCAAGUACACUAACCAAAUGUUCAGUUUCUGCAUGGAAGCUGGACAGAAAGUCUCUUCCGUAUGGAAGGGGCGGGAAACGUACAUGCUUUUGAUCGGAAGCGACCCCUGCGAGCUACAGAAGGGCGCAGGGCGGAGGACGCGAGUCUUUCUUCUUCCGG